Non-coding RNA from Ornithorhynchus anatinus (platypus), 138 nucleotides. NCBI's taxonomy places the organism in Eukaryota, Metazoa, Chordata, Mammalia, Monotremata, Ornithorhynchidae. The record is from Rfam.
CCCCUUUCAGGUUUACUCCUGGAGAAUUUCUAAUACUCUACCAGUCUCAACUGUGGGAGGGAGAGUCAAGCAGAGGCCUAUCCAUUCCAUUCCUAGCUUGGGCAGUGGCUAAUGAGUGGAAGGCAAUCUGCUACAAGU